RNAcentral lists this long non-coding RNA (612 nucleotides) under Homo sapiens (human). RNAcentral describes it as "non-protein coding TRAF3IP2-AS1:21". The record is from RNAcentral. Lineage: Eukaryota; Metazoa; Chordata; Mammalia; Primates; Hominidae.
UUUGCAUUUGGUUGUGAUGCAGUAUGGAGAAUGUGAGACCGUUUUUUCCAAACAAGAUUGCUCAUUCCUACAGGAAAUGACCUCAUUCUUGAUGGCUGCUGCUAACUUAUGGUGAGAUGCUGGGUCCCUGCCCAAUACCACAUGGACAUCCAAUCAAUUUACCCAGGGACAAGUCCACUCAAGAGCAUCAUUUAGAAGAGGGAAAAGGCACUGGGGUUAUUUGUUUUUGGAGUAUGUGCUUAAGGAAAUCUAGAGUAUUCCCACGAGCAUUCUGCUGAGAUGAACAAUCAGAUGACCUCGUGUGAGAUUUGGAGGAGAGAAGGAAAUGGAGAGCAUGCGUCUGCCGCUUCUGUGGUUUCUGUCGGUAAGCACAGUGAUGAGGUGCUGAGUUUUCCCCAGAAGGCCUCCCAGUGUCCUAUUACCAGCUUCACAAGCGUCGAGGGCAGGGCAUGGGCAUCUAUUGUUCACCAGUGGAGAUCUAUCUGGCACAGAACCGAUCCAACCAUUGCAGUGGUCACAGCGGUGUUGGCUUUCUGAUUCUCAACCUUCCUGACCGCCAGAGGAGACAGCCUCUUUGGUGGCCCUGUUCUGUGGUAUUGUGCUAACCGGUGG